AUUCCAGCUCCAAUAGCGUAUAUUAAAGUUGUUGCGGUUAAAAAGCUCGUAGUUGGAUUUCUGCUGAGGACGACCGGUCCGCCCUCUGGGUGAGUAUCUGGCUCGGCCUUGGCAUCUUCUUGGGGAACGUAACUGCACUUGACUGUGUGGUGCGGUAUCCAGGACUUUUACUUUGAGGAAAUUAGAGUGUUUCAAGCAGGCGCACGCCUUGAAUACAUUAGCAUGGAAUAAUAAGAUAGGACCUUGGUUCUAUUUUGUUGGUUUCUAGAGCUGAGGUAAUGAUUAAUAGGGAUAGUUGGGGGCAUUAGUACUUUGCUGUCAGAGGUGAAAUUCUCGGAUUUGCAAAUGACUAACUUAUGCGAAAGCAUUUGCCAAGGAUGUUUUCAUCG
This 389-nucleotide ribosomal RNA is filed under the name Gymnodiniaceae sp. Its description in RNAcentral is "partial small subunit ribosomal RNA". It matches the Rfam family "Eukaryotic small subunit ribosomal RNA", at positions 582 to 975 of the family's 1831-position model. The record is from RNAcentral. Lineage: Eukaryota; Dinophyceae; Gymnodiniales; Gymnodiniaceae.